GGCACUACAGUUCGAGGAGGCCAAAUUCAAAGCAUUUGAUCUGGCCUCGAAGCCUGAGGGAACUGGAACACCAACUAAGGAUUUCAAGGCUUUGUUUUCCCAAAUUACUACUCGUUUUUGAAGUAAAAUGCCCAUAAUUAUAAAUUAGGGAGCAUCACCUGCUAAAGAGUUAGUUAUUUAUUUAUUGAUAUGUUUUCUACCUUUACACUUUGAACUAUCAAGGAAUUAGCUGUUUUAAGCAGUGGAACUUUCGUCAAACCUACAUGUUGAUAUGUACUAUUUAUUGGUGAAAUCAAUGCUGUGAAAUUGAUAACAUGGAUAUGUAGUUUUUUGUUUUUCUUUUUAUAUUGUUCGCCAGACAUUUUAACUGAAUAGCAUUCUAAACUUAUGCCGUUAUAUUAUGUCGAAGGAUGGCUUUAGCCUCGGAUAGUGUUUGGAGUAUAACUACUGUGAGAGGUACUUCAAGAAAACCAACUUUAGGCAUUUGAAGUAAUGUCAUUUCAUUUAGUGGAUGGAAACUGGUGAUGUAAUGGAUUUGCAGUUCAAAUAUUAUNNNNNNNNNNNNNNNNNNNNNNNNNNNNNNNNNNNNNNNNNNNNNNNNNNNNNNNNNNNNNNNNNNNNNNNNNNNNNNNNNNNNNNNNNNNNNNNNNNNNUAUGGGAGGGUCCCAGCCUGUUAGAUACUCAAGUAAUCCUCACGGACAUGUAAAAUCACUACGUCCCAUGCAUCAGGUAAUUACUAGGAAAAAACUUUCAGUAAUUACUGAUUAGACUUUCACAGUUGGAAGUGAAAUCUUAGCCAUCUCACUGAACGACUUUUCCUACAACUGGGGUUUCUGUUUUUAUUUCAUCAAGAUUAAGGUCUUUUCUUGACAUGGUCCGUUGCUGCUUUAUUCACACAGGCCAAAUUGUUUAUAAGAAGUUGAAGGAGAAGUCUGACCAGUAUAUUGGUAGAGGUUUGGUCAGAACAGAGGAGAGCAAAGAGAAAAUUGGUGGAGCUGAUGAUGUUUUUGUUGGGGAUAUAAGGGACGCUGACAGCAUAGGAACUGCAAUCCAAGGUAUUGAUUCUCUUAUAAUUCUUACGAGUGGUGUGCCAAAAAUGAAGCCUGGUUUUGAUCCAAGUAAAGGCGGAAGGCCUGAGUUCUAUUUUGAAGAUGGAGCAUAUCCUGAACAGGUAACUACUAAACUAUAUCUAACAAUACAAACUUGGGUAUUCAUUUUUUAUUUUAAUUUUUUACUUUUCUAUUGAUGAUUAUCAAUUUUUGUCUUUUUUUUUCUUCAUAUUUUGAUAAAUAAUUUGUUAGGUUGACUGGAUUGGGCAGAAAAAUCAAAUAGAUGCUGGUGAGGCCUUUUUACUUUAACUUAUUAAUCAAAUGUAUUUUUUUCUGAGUUUUUGUGAUACAAAUGUACAGCUAAAGCUGCUGGGGUGAAACAAAUCGUGCUGGUUGGAUCAAUGGGAGGAACAGAUCUCAGCAACCCACUGAACAGCUUGGGGAAUGGGAAUAUAUUGGUUUGUAUUGCUCUUACUCGUUGUUUCAUUUUCUUUAUCUCAUCCGGUCAUCUGAAUGAGGAUAAGGAUUCAUGGUUCCAUGCAUGAAGUUCUUCUAUUGUUGUUUUGUGAUGAAGAGAGAUGUUUUUCUGAUUGUGCGCCUGUACCUCAUCUUUCUUAUUCCUCACAAGCCAUAAUACGAGUGCCUCUAUGAAUACUUUUUGUGUUUUUCUCCAACUUUUUAUUUUAGAAGUAGCUGUGCCAAGGUCUUGUUAACACAUGACUUUGCUGUCCAUACAUGGUUGACUAUCCUAAAUGAAAUUAUAUUCGUUUAAAAGUUUAGUAGGGUGUUGAAAAGUGAUUUGCAGUUGUUUUGAAGCAGAGAAUAUUCCCUAUAGGUCACUUCUAACCUAAUGUUGAUGACCUGCAUCAUUUUUAUGACUGGUGUUUCUGGGCCAUUUUGAUGCCCCUUUUCACUCUCCUUUUUAUGUUUUGCUUUCCUCUUGCUAAAAAUGCUUAGAUUACAAGAAUCACUUCAAAGAAGUUCAAUUGGUCAUGCUACAGGUAUGGAAGAGAAAGGCUGAGCAAUAUUUAGCUGACUCUGGGGUUCCCUACACAAUUAUAAGGUAUGGUCAUCAUUCUUUCUUGUAUUUUCAUAAUAAGAAGUGAUUAUUUGAAUAUGGAUGCCUAGAUGAAAGUUCAAGAUAAUUUAUGUGAUAAGGUGUCAUUCUUUUUACUCUUUCUUUCUCAUUGCCAUUUGGGAUGAAAAGGGGUGAGGUUCUAUAGCACCCAAUUUGUGUUUUAUAUAUAUAAAAAAUUGCCUUUCAAGAUUAAAGAGGCUAACUGCCCUAUUACAAGCAGUAUUUUAAAAAUUCUUCUAGGUCUGCUUAGGCGGAAUUGGUCCUCAGCCUCGAUUAGACCCUAGUCGCUUACAUUGAAACUUAAUUACUUUUAUUAGGUCAUGACCGUAAAAAAUUUCAACUUUUUAUUUUAAAAAUUAUUAAUUGCAUUGCAUCCUUUGAAUAUAUUUUUUUAUAAUAAUUAAUCAGGUUAUUUAAUUUACAACUCUAAAACCUAGACCAUUUCCUUAGUUUUCUUAAGUGCCCAAUGAACCGUACCAAUAUAGUAGAUUUAAGGUUAAAGUCAAAAGAAUUGUCUAACAAAUGACUGAUUGACUACUAAUAUGAAUUUAAAAUGAUGACUAAUAAUGGUAUUUAGUAAAUGCUUUCAAGCUCUACAAUCUUGAAAUGAAUUUAUUAUGCCUUAUAAGAUUGUUUUUUGGGUAAUAUUUUUAUAUAUUGCGACUUUUCUCAACUGUUGAUCCCAUUUUUGUUAUAUAUCAUUCAACACUACCUAGUUUAUUAAGAUUUAAGAUUAACUUUAACAAAUAUGCAUGAUUAUAGAACAAUACUUUUUGGAGAAAUUAAAGUACAUUCAUUUUGGUUCUAUAUCUUGUGUUUUACUUUUAUCUUUCAAAGCAUGCCUAAUAAAAUGGAAGUGCAUGAUUAACUGUCCAUACAUUUGUUAUCCCUUUAGUUCAUGUAGUCUAAUUCUGAAAGUAUAUUUUUCACUCACAUCUCUUGGAAUGGUUCAGGGCAGGAGGAUUGCAAGACAAAGAAGGUGGUGUCCGCGAAUUGCUUGUUGGAAAGGAUGAUGAGCUUCUUAAGACAGAGACAAGAACUAUUUCCCGGGCAGAUGUUGCAGAAGUCUGCAUUCAGGUAUUUAUUUACGUGAUGUGCUUGUGGAAAUAUAUAUGUUCUUCUGCUUGUCACAUAGCAUUGCUUUGUCUGAUGGCACAUUAUUUGCUCUUGAACAGGCACUACAGUUCGAGGAGGCCAAAUUCAAAGCAUUUGAUCUGGCCUCGAAGCCUGAGGGAACUGGAACACCAACUAAGGAUUUCAAGGCUUUGUUUUCCCAAAUUACUACUCGUUUUUGAAGUAAAAUGCCCAUAAUUAUAAAUUAGGGAGCAUCACCUGCUAAAGAGUUAGUUAUUUAUUUAUUGAUAUGUUUUCUACCUUUACACUUUGAACUAUCAAGGAAUUAGCUGUUUUAAGCAGUGGAACUUUCGUCAAACCUACAUGUUGAUAUGUACUAUUUAUUGGUGAAAUCAAUGCUGUGAAAUUGAUAACAUGGAUAUGUAGUUUUUUGUUUUUCUUUUUAUAUUGUUCGCCAGACAUUUUAACUGAAUAGCAUUCUAAACUUAUGCCGUUAUAUUAUGUCGAAGGAUGGCUUUAGCCUCGGAUAGUGUUUGGAGUAUAACUACUGUGAGAGGUACUUCAAGAAAACCAACUUUAGGCAUUUGAAGUAAUGUCAUUUCAUUUAGUGGAUGGAAACUGGUGAUGUAAUGGAUUUGCAGUUCAAAUAUUAUACAAUGUUUACCAAUUCACUUGUAUGUUGAAAACCUGUCCUGUCUUUAAUUCUCUUUGUUAGGUGAGGACUUGCAAAGCCUUAUAUUUAUUUAUUUGCAAUUGAUGCAAAAAGAGUUGGCAUAUUCUUGUUUCCAUUUCAAUUGUCAUGAGACUCAUGACUAAUGCACAUUCUGUUCCUUUUCUACUAUAGGAGUAUCACUUUUUGAGUAACUGCUGACAAUUUUUGU
This 4082-nucleotide long non-coding RNA is filed under the name Panax ginseng (ginseng). Its description in RNAcentral is "long non-coding RNA (PGIN_LNC018079)". The record is from RNAcentral. Lineage: Eukaryota; Viridiplantae; Streptophyta; Magnoliopsida; Apiales; Araliaceae.